ACGGGUGAGUAACGCGUGAGAAACCUGCCUUUCAGUGGGGGACAACAGUUGGAAACGACUGCUAAUACCGCAUAAUGUUAUUUGGGGGCAUCCCUGGAUAACCAAAGAUUUAUUGCUGAAAGAUGGUCUCGCGUCUGAUUAGCUAGAUGGCGGGGUAACGGCCCACCAUGGCGACGAUCAGUAGCCGGUCUGAGAGGAUGAACGGCCACAUUGGGACUGAGAUACGGCCCAGACUCCUACGGGAGGCAGCAGUGGGGAAUAUUGGGCAAUGGGGGAAACCCUGACCCAGCAACGCCGCGUGAAGGAAGAAGGCCUUCGGGUUGUAAACUUCUUUUACCAGGGACGAAGAAAAUGACGGUACCUGGAGAAAAAGCAACGGCUAACUACGUGCCAGCAGCCGCGGUAAUACGUAGGUUGCAAGCGUUGUCCGGAUUUACUGGGUGUAAAGGGCGUGUAGGCGGAGAUGCAAGUUGGGAGUGAAAUCCCGGGGCUCAACCCCGGAACUGCUUUCAAAACUGUAUCCCUUGAGUGUCGGAGAGGCAAGCGGAAUUCCUAGUGUAGCGGUGAAAUGCGUAGAUAUUAGGAGGAACACCAGUGGCGAAGGCGGCUUGCUGGACGAUAACUGACGCUGAGGCGCGAAAGCGUGGGGAGCAAACAGGAUUAGAUACCCCUGGUAGUCCACGCUGUAAACGAUGAAUACUAGGUGUGGGAGGACUGACCCCUUCAGUGCGGCAGUUCACACAACAAGUAUUCCUCCUCGGGAGAAGGUCCGCACUGUUGAAACUGCAGAAGGAAUGGGAGGGGACCCCCACAACCCGCAGAUAACAUGGAUGAACUUGACGCAACCAGAAGAACCAGGCCACGAUAUGGCAUCCUCCAGAUGAGGAACAAACACAGUAGGGACCUUGGAUCCAAAAGUGACACAGGCCAGGCAGGGU
RNAcentral lists this ribosomal RNA (938 nucleotides) under uncultured bacterium. RNAcentral describes it as "bacterial SSU rRNA". It matches the Rfam family "Bacterial small subunit ribosomal RNA", at positions 102 to 1049 of the family's 1533-position model. The record is from RNAcentral.